Molecule: ribosomal RNA, 249 nt
Filed under: uncultured Eubacteriales bacterium
Lineage: Bacteria; Bacillati; Bacillota; Clostridia; Eubacteriales
Description: uncultured Clostridiales bacterium partial 16S ribosomal RNA
Rfam family: Bacterial small subunit ribosomal RNA
Source: RNAcentral
AAAGUGGAUUAGCGGCGGACGGGUGAGUAACACGUGAGUAACCUGCCUUAGACAUUGGGAUAGCCUCGGGAAACCGGGAUUAAUACCAAAUAAAAUCAUAAUGACACAUGUCAUAACGAUCAAAACUCCGGUGGUCUAAGAUGGACUCGCGUCCCAUUAGCUAGUUGGUAGAGUAAAAGCCUACCAAGGCGACGAUGGGUAGCCGGCCUGAGAGGGUGAACGGCACAUUGGAACUGAGAAACGGUCCAA